This is a non-coding RNA of Tribolium castaneum (red flour beetle), 92 nucleotides long. The record is from RefSeq and is marked provisional. Lineage: Eukaryota; Metazoa; Arthropoda; Insecta; Coleoptera; Tenebrionidae.
AGAAAGCAAAGGGCCCUUGGGUGGAAGGUUGGAUCUUCGCAUGAUUCAAGUUGCCAGAUCUAACUCUUCCAUAUGACGGUCAUUUGCCAACA